UCGAGGGGCAGCACAGGUAGCAAUACCGGGUGGCGACCGGCGCACGGGUGAGUAACGCGUAUGCAACUUGCCUAUCAGAGGGGGAUAACCCGGCGAAAGUCGGACUAAUACCGCAUGAAGCAGGGGCCCCGCAUGGGGAUAUUUGCUAAAGAUUCAUCGCUGAUAGAUAGGCAUGCGUUCCAUUAGGCAGUUGGCGGGGUAACGGCCCACCAAACCGACGAUGGAUAGGGGUUCUGAGAGGAAGGUCCCCCACAUUGGUACUGAGACACGGACCAAACUCCUACGGGAGGCAGCAGUGAGGAAUAUUGGUCAAUGGGCGUAAGCCUGAACCAGCCAAGUCGCGUGAGGGAUGAAGGUUCUAUGGAUCGUAAACCUCUUUUAUAAGGGAAUAAAGUGCGGGACGUGUCCCGUUUUGUAUGUACCUUAUGAAUAAGGAUCGGCUAACUCCGUGCCAGCAGCCGCGGUAAUACGGAGGAUCCGAGCGUUAUCCGGAUUUAUUGGGUUUAAAGGGUGCGUAGGCGGCCUUUUAAGUCAGCGGUGAAAGUCUGUGGCUCAACCAUAGAAUUGCCGUUGAAACUGGGGGGCUUGAGUAUGUUUGAGGCAGGCGGAAUGCGUGGUGUAGCGGUGAAAUGCUUAGAUAUCACGCAGAACCCCGAUUGCGAAGGCAGCCUGCCAAGCCAUGACUGACGCUGAUGCACGAAAGCGUGGGGAUCAAACAGGAUUAGAUACCCUGGUAGUCCACGCAGUAAACGAUGAUCACUAGCUGUUUGCGAUACACAGUAAGCGGCACAGCGAAAGCGUUAAGUGAUCC
This 811-nucleotide ribosomal RNA is filed under the name uncultured bacterium. Its description in RNAcentral is "bacterial SSU rRNA". It matches the Rfam family "Bacterial small subunit ribosomal RNA", at positions 62 to 870 of the family's 1533-position model. The record is from RNAcentral.